AAGGGGCCGUGGGGAGGGGGGGCUUUGACAAUGAACUUGAGACAAACUUCAUUAGCAUGCAGGCCUGCUGUCUGUCACUUUGAGCUCAGACAGAGUUCCCAUGCAGGCCAGGAAGAGUGGGAGGGAGAGAAGGGGAGGGGCUGUGAGUGGGGGGUGAAAGACAAGAGCCCCCCGACCAUUGUACCGCUGGGGCCUCACCUUCCACCAAAUAUUAAACCCUAGCCCUGGAAACCAACCUCCAAAUCGUUCUCUAAGAACAAGAUAAUUUAUCUCCCACUUUGAGCCUGUGGUUCCACCCCUCCUGUCUAGACAUCCAAGAGCUGGUGGCCCCUGUCCCUAGUCCAGGUCUCAGCCUUUAUCUCCCAGUGGCCGCUUAUUCCUUCACAACCAAGAUCUAAAUUUGUGAUUGAUCCAGUUGGUUGGGCUAGGUGCCUGGGGAGCUUUGGGGAAGGAGGGACUGAGCACCCCACCCUCAAGUGGCAAAGGGUGUCUUCUACAAGUCCCCAUCAGCUCCACUCUCCACACGCCCCACACACAUUCAAUCACAGCCUCAAGUUCAAAAGUGAAUUAAAACUCAAAGAAGCCUGGGGACAGGGACAAGAGUACUUCUGUCAUUCAUUCUCUUCCCCUGCUUCCUUGGGGACAAGGGUGGCCUGGAGGAACAAUAGUGUCCCCUGGCCCCUUCUUCCUGCAUUGGGUUAGAAAAGGCAGCAGAAAGCAGUGGGGAUGACAAAGACACACACACACACACACACACACACACACACACACACACACACACACACACACACACCCCAGGCUUGAGAAGGGAGGAGGAGGCGUCUCUGGCUGGACGGACAGACUGUUAUUUUGGUGGUGGGCAUGGUCCCAGAUAGGGGCAGCGUUCCCCUUUUUCCUGGCUUUUCAGGGAGAGCAGCAAGAGAAAGAAAGAAGCAAACGAAAUUCCUGAAUGGAUAAGAGAUGCUACGUCAGCGGUACUGGAGCCGCAUCCUCCACUCCACGAGAAGAGAAGAGCUAGGAGAGACCAGCGGGCGGUAGCUGCGGCUAGUGGCCUCUCCGUGCGGCACAGAGGCAAGAAGCAGCCAUCCAUCCAGAAGCAACCUCCGUAUUCCGUUUGUCCGGAUGUCAUCGUAGGUGGCCGGCAUCUCUGGCUUUGGGCUUCUCCCCUGGGGCGGGUGGGUGCUCCACCCUCCCGCCCACUCUCUGAGGACAUGAGGAGCAUGGUAUCCAGCACCACGGACAGCUCCCAGCGGUUCCUUGAAUGCUUGGUUUAUGUGCCUGGCUGGAGGAGACACCCAUGGCCUUGCAGAGGGAGCGUUCUGGUGGGAAAGCAGACACAACCCACCCUAGGCCCGUGGUUUCCCUGCAAGAAGCCCAGUGGCUUUCUGGAGGACACUUUUCCUGGAGGAAGUGACUCAAGAGCAGCAUAA
This 1430-nucleotide long non-coding RNA is filed under the name Mus spicilegus (steppe mouse). RNAcentral describes it as "lncRNA (ENSMSIG00000001875.1)". Lineage: Eukaryota; Metazoa; Chordata; Mammalia; Rodentia; Muridae. The record is from RNAcentral.